This 70-nucleotide transfer RNA is filed under the name Marmota monax (woodchuck). Its description in RNAcentral is "tRNA.Val". The record is from RNAcentral. Lineage: Eukaryota; Metazoa; Chordata; Mammalia; Rodentia; Sciuridae.
GGGUUGUGUCUCAGUGGCAGAGCACUCGUGUCACACCUGGGAGGCACUGGGUUCGAUCCUCAGUAGCACA